RNAcentral lists this ribosomal RNA (811 nucleotides) under Cryptosporidium xiaoi. RNAcentral describes it as "SSU rRNA". It matches the Rfam family "Eukaryotic small subunit ribosomal RNA", at positions 207 to 1082 of the family's 1831-position model. The record is from RNAcentral. Lineage: Eukaryota; Apicomplexa; Conoidasida; Eucoccidiorida; Cryptosporidiidae.
UUAUUAGAUAAAGAACCAAUAUUUUUGGUGACUCAUAAUAACUUUACGGAUCACAUUAUGUGACAUAUCAUUCAAGUUUCUGACCUAUCAGCUUUAGACGGUAGGGUAUUGGCCUACCGUGGCUAUGACGGGUAACGGGGAAUUAGGGUUCGAUUCCGGAGAGGGAGCCUGAGAAACGGCUACCACAUCUAAGGAAGGCAGCAGGCGCGCAAAUUACCCAAUCCUAAUACAGGGAGGUAGUGACAAGAAAUAACAAUACAGAACCUUACGGUUUUGUAAUUGGAAUGAGUUAAGUAUAAACCCCUUAACAAGUAUCAAUUGGAGGGCAAGUCUGGUGCCAGCAGCCGCGGUAAUUCCAGCUCCAAUAGCGUAUAUUAAAGUUGUUGCAGUUAAAAAGCUCGUAGUUAAUCUUCUGUUAAUUUUUAUAUAUAAUAUUUCGAUAUUUAUAUAAUAUUAACAUAAUUCAUAUUACUUUUUAGUAUAUGAAACUUUACUUUGAGAAAAUUAGAGUGCUUAAAGCAGGCUAUUGCCUUGAAUACUCCAGCAUGGAAUAAUAUUAAGGAUUUUUAUUCUUCUUAUUGGUUCUAGAAUAAAAAUGAUGAUUAAUAGGAACAGUUGGGGGCAUUUGUAUUUAACAGUCAGAGGUGAAAUUCUUAGAUUUGUUAAAGACAAACUACUGCGAAAGCAUUUGCCAAGGAUGUUUUCAUUAAUCAAGAACGAAAGUUAGGGGAUCGAAGACGAUCAGAUACCGUCGUAGUCUUAACCAUAAACUAUGCCAACUAGAGAUUGGAGGUUGUUCCUUACUCCUUCA